Molecule: ribosomal RNA, 454 nt
Filed under: uncultured bacterium
Lineage: Bacteria
Description: bacterial SSU rRNA
Rfam family: Bacterial small subunit ribosomal RNA
Source: RNAcentral
AGAGUUUGAUCCUGGCUCAGAACGAACGCUGGCGGCAUGCCUAACACAUGCAAGUCGAACGAGACCUUCGGGUCUAGUGGCGCACGGGUGCGUAACGCGUGGGAAUCUGCCCCUUGGUUCGGAAUAACAGUUAGAAAUGACUGCUAAUACCGGAUGAUGACGAAAGUCCAAAGAUUUAUCGCCGAGGGAUGAGCCCGCGUAGGAUUAGCUAGUUGGUGAGGUAAAGGCUCACCCAAGGCGACGAUCCUUAGCUGGUCUGAGAGGAUGAUCAGCCACACUGGGACUGAGACACGGCCCAGACUCCUACGGGAGGCAGCAGUGGGGAAUAUUGGACAAUGGGCGAAAGCCUGAUCCAGCAAUGCCGCGUGAGUGAUGAAGGCCUUAGGGUCGUAAAGCUCUUUUACCAGGGAUGAUAAUGACAGUACCUGGAGAAUAAGCUCCGGCUAACUCCGUG